AAAACAGUACGAAGAGGGACAACGCGGCUCCCUCUCUGAGGGAGAAGCUGCCUCUUCUUUACGAGCACACACAAGUCCGUCGUGGCUACGUGUGAGCGUCCGGGGUAUAUCGUGUCAAGCGUUCACGAAGUGUGCCUAGUACGGCGAAGUUCGAUACUCUUGUAGUGGGAUGUAGCUGUUUUAGUGCACUUAAGCUCUCGUGAUUCAGCGGCGGUAUAUGUCUCGCGGCCAACUUGCGCGUAGACAAACGUUGUUUCUUCUUAGAGGCAUUUACGACUCUACACAAGUCGUACGAGACAGAGAGCAAUAACAGGUCUGUGAUGCCCUUAGAUGCCCUGGGCCGCACGCGAGCUACAAUGCCGGGUACAGCGGGUGUUACCUUCCUUCUCCGACAGGAGUAGGUAACCCUCUGAAAUCCCUUCUGGUAUACGUGUGUGUAUAACGCGCGCGAAUAUCUUGGCUCGA
RNAcentral lists this ribosomal RNA (465 nucleotides) under Leucothoe machidai. RNAcentral describes it as "partial small subunit ribosomal RNA". It matches the Rfam family "Eukaryotic small subunit ribosomal RNA", at positions 1359 to 1604 of the family's 1831-position model. Lineage: Eukaryota; Metazoa; Arthropoda; Malacostraca; Amphipoda; Leucothoidae. The record is from RNAcentral.